RNAcentral lists this ribosomal RNA (1191 nucleotides) under Triticum aestivum (bread wheat). RNAcentral describes it as "partial small subunit ribosomal RNA". Lineage: Eukaryota; Viridiplantae; Streptophyta; Magnoliopsida; Poales; Poaceae. The record is from RNAcentral.
AUGGAGCUCAUCCAUGUUGAUGGCAAGGGGAACUACACAGUGGCGGAGCGCGUGCAGCGCGCCAUGGCCAGCAGCCGGCAGCGCCUGACGUCCUUUGUCGACGUGAGCGCACCGGUCCACUGGAACACCAGCCAGUACAUUGCCGAGUACCUGAUCGGCAACCCACCGCAGCGCGCCGAGGCCCUCAUCGACACCGGUAGCGACCUCAUCUGGACGCAGUGCUCCACCUGCAGCCUCAAAGGAUCCUGCGUCAUGCAAGGCCUGCCCUACUAUAACGCGUCCAAGUCGGACAGCUUCCACCCCGUGCCAUGCAACGACACCUUGUGCCUAGCCAACCGGGCGCACUCGUGCCGCCAGGAUGGCAGCUGCGCUUUCGGGGCCUUCUACGGCGUUGGCGACGCUAGAGGGUCUAUCGGCACGGAGGUCUUCGCCUUUGAACAUGGUUCGGUGACGCUCACGUUCGGCUGCGUCGACACGCUGCAGUUCACUCCGGGGUCCCUUGACGGGUCGUCGGGCCUCAUAGGGCUUGGCCGUGGCCCCUUGUCGCUCGUCUCUCAGAUAGGUGCCAGCAAGUUCUCUUACUGCCACACCCCCUACCUCCGCAGCAACGUUACUCCCGGUGCCAGGAGUCACCUUUUCGUCGGCGCCUCGGCGAGCCUUAGCGGCGGCAGCCCUGUGAUGUCCAUGUCUUUCGUGCAAGGCCCUAAAAAGUACCCAUUCUACUAUGUCCCACUCAUCGGGAUAAGCGUUGGACAAACAAGGCUUUCUAUCCCACCAAUGAUGUUCGCUCUGAAACCAAACGGCACCGGCGGCGGUGUCUUUGUCGACUCCGGUAACCCCACUUCGGUUCUGGUCGAUGGGGCGUACAGGCCUCUGAGAGAGGAGCUCCGGAGGCAGCUACACGGGAGCCUCCUGCCGCCACCAGCCGGCAGUGGGAUCGACUUGUGUGUGGCAGUGGCGCAGGAAAAGGCAGUGCCGUCCAUGGUGUUCCACUUCAGUGGUGGAGCGGACAUGGUGCUGCCGCCAGAGAAUUACUGGGUGCCGCUGGAUGAUUCCAUUUCAUGCAUGGUGAUGCAUAAAUCCAGCAGCGUGAGCAUCAUCGGCAACUUCCAGUUGCAGAACAUGCACUUGCUGUACGACCUUACUAAGGAGGAGCUCUCUUUCCAAACUGCCGACUGCAGCUCACUGUGA